AAGUCUUCUGUUCAUAGGAGGAGUAGGUGAAUAUAUUUCUAUAAGUCUCUCUCUCUCUUUAAUGAUUUUUCCCUAUUACCACUUCUCACUUUUAUUUUCUUUGAGAUACAGGACUUGGUAUGGUUGUGAAGGAUUCUGGAUUAAACGAUAAAGUGCUUGAAGUUGAAGUCUCUGACAACUUCAGUUUGCGCGAUCUCAAGGUAGGUGCAUAGUGCAUACUCUACUUUUUUUUUAAUCUCCAUUUUGUUAGUUGGUAUAUAUGGGAAUUCACAUUGAACAUUUUUUGUUUUUUUUGUUUUGUAGGCAAUGGUUAAGAUGCUCAUUGCAGUUCAAAUAGACCCUGACGAUGGACCGGUGAGUUCUUUUUUUAUAUGUUAUGCCCGUUUCGUGAAUGUAAAUUAGUUGCAUUUUAUAUAUUUCUGAUUUGUAGUUCAAAUUCUUGUGUUUGAUUUCAUUGUAAUUUUAUUAAACAUCGAGAAUAUAUACCAAUAAUUUUGUAAGUGUAAUGGUGGAAAAUGCUCCUUUUUCAUCUUCCAUGGGAGAGAUUAAGCACAAUGUAUUUGGAAUUUUACCAACUCAUGUAACAUCAAAAUUGGAAGUGCUGUGACGUUUUGAUUUUUUGGGAGGUUUUUUGUGAUGCUUGAUGAUUACGAGAGAAGUGACAUUUGGAAAAAGUAACAGCUUUAGCUUUAGGAAUUCACAUUGAUCUUCUGUUUCGUUUAUGCAGGGAGUUUUUAAAGCUCUCAGAUCUUCAUACAAGACGGAUUCUGAUGCUUUUGACGCACUUGU
RNAcentral lists this long non-coding RNA (789 nucleotides) under Aquilegia coerulea. RNAcentral describes it as "long non-coding RNA (ACOE_LNC002110)". The record is from RNAcentral. Lineage: Eukaryota; Viridiplantae; Streptophyta; Magnoliopsida; Ranunculales; Ranunculaceae.